Molecule: ribosomal RNA, 623 nt
Filed under: Virgibacillus halodenitrificans
Lineage: Bacteria; Bacillati; Bacillota; Bacilli; Caryophanales; Bacillaceae
Description: bacterial SSU rRNA
Rfam family: Bacterial small subunit ribosomal RNA
Source: RNAcentral
GCGUAGAGAUGUGGAGGAACACCAGUGGCGAAGGCGACUCUCUGGUCUGUAACUGACGCUGAGGCGCGAAAGCGUGGGGAGCGAACAGGAUUAGAUACCCUGGUAGUCCACGCCGUAAACGAUGAGUGCUAGGUGUUAGGGGGUUUCCGCCCCUUAGUGCUGAAGUUAACGCAUUAAGCACUCCGCCUGGGGAGUACGGCCGCAAGGCUGAAACUCAAAAGAAUUGACGGGGGCCCGCACAAGCGGUGGAGCAUGUGGUUUAAUUCGACGCAACGCGAAGAACCUUACCAGGUCUUGACAUCCUCUGCAAUCGGUAGAGAUACCGAGUUCCCUUCGGGGACAGAGUGACAGGUGGUGCAUGGUUGUCGUCAGCUCGUGUCGUGAGAUGUUGGGUUAAGUCCCGCAACGAGCGCAACCCUUGAUCUUAGUUGCCAGCAUUUAGUUGGGCACUCUAAGGUGACUGCCGGUGACAAACCGGAGGAAGGUGGGGAUGACGUCAAAUCAUCAUGCCCCUUAUGACCUGGGCUACACACGUGCUACAAUGGAUGGAACAAAGGGAAGCAAAACCGCGAGGUCAAGCAAAUCCCAUAAAACCAUUCUCAGUUCGGAUUGCAGGCUGCAAC